Molecule: long non-coding RNA, 968 nt
Organism: Hemicordylus capensis (graceful crag lizard)
Lineage: Eukaryota; Metazoa; Chordata; Lepidosauria; Squamata; Cordylidae
Exons: 3
Source: RefSeq, a predicted model, not a curated record
CACCUAGGAUGCGGGGGGAAACGACAACAAAGAAUCCAGCAAGAAGCUGUCAGUUCCAUCCCGCACCAUAGAACCCCCCGGAAGGCAGUGGGGUAGAAAAAUGCUGCCAGACUGCUACUGCUUUGGAGGGGGUGGCUGAGCUCCAGCGGGCCCUGCCUGAGCUUGUCCACAGCGCAAAGCUCGCCUGGGUCUGCAAUUACCGCGCCCUCCGCCCACCCCGCCUGCCGGGAAACGGUGCCCCCGAGAGCGGGGCGAAGCCGUUAUUGAGACGCGGGAUUGAUAGGGAAGCCACCACGCUGAUAGGCUUUAAUGGAUGUUCGAAGAUCACGCCCCCUUUUCCAAGGACACAAUCUUCAACCUAAGUACACACACACACACCACACACACAAUUAACGACCGGGGUGGUCAGCAGAGCGCCACACAGAAAGGAGCUUCUUAAAGGACAGGAGGGAGGAGGCUUUACGAAUCUCAGGAGGCAGAAUGUUCCAUAAGGAGGGAGCUGCACCAGAGAAGGCCCUCCCACGAGCCUGGGCCCCGCCUACUUCCCCUGGGCCCCGGAACUCUGAGAAGGCCCACCUGAGAGGACGUCACAAGGCAGGUCGGAGUUGAUGGGAGAGGCAGUCCUGAAGGUACAAGGGUGCCAUACCCGGAAGGGAUUUAUAGGUGAUAACCAGCACCUUGAAUUGGACCCAGAAGUGAACUGGCAGCCAAUGCUGCAACCUCAGCAAAGGUCUAUGGAGAGACUCUCUGGUGAAGUGGAUCACCCAUUCGUCAGCCUGCAGUAACCAAGAAGAGAGUCUGCUGCCUGCUUGCCUUUGUGCCUCCCUUUGCCAACAUUCCUCCUGAGGGCUGUGGGCCUGCUGUCCUCCGCACCAGGCCUAAGCUUUGCUUGCCAAUGGGUUUGUGUGUAAAUGAAUACAGGGAGACUGGAAGGAAAAAAUACUCUUUGACAGAAUAAAAAGUCAGGC